This 253-nucleotide ribosomal RNA is filed under the name uncultured bacterium. RNAcentral describes it as "partial 16S ribosomal RNA". It matches the Rfam family "Bacterial small subunit ribosomal RNA", at positions 524 to 776 of the family's 1533-position model. The record is from RNAcentral.
GACAGAGGCCUCAAGCGUUAGGCGGAAUCACUGGGCUUAAAUCGUGUGUAGGCGGAUGCCUAAGUACCUUGUGAAAUCCCACGGCUCAACCGUGGAACUGCUGGGUAUACUGGGUGUCUUGGGCCAUUCAGGGGCGACUGGAACAAGCGGUGGAGCGGUGAAAUGCGUAGAUAUCGCUUGGAACGCCGAAGGUGAAAACAGGUCGCUGGGGAUGUGCCGACGCUGAGACACGAAAGCCAGGGGAGCAAACGGG